Molecule: RNase P RNA, 339 nt
Filed under: uncultured Bulleidia sp.
Lineage: Bacteria; Bacillati; Bacillota; Erysipelotrichia; Erysipelotrichales; Erysipelotrichaceae
Description: Bacterial RNase P class B
Rfam family: Bacterial RNase P class B
About the family: Ribonuclease P (RNase P) is a ubiquitous endoribonuclease, found in archaea, bacteria and eukarya as well as chloroplasts and mitochondria. Its best characterised activity is the generation of mature 5'-ends of tRNAs by cleaving the 5'-leader elements of precursor-tRNAs.
Source: RNAcentral
GAGGCAGUCGCUGGCGCCUUUGGCGUUAGAGGAAAGUCCAUGCUCGCACCAUCUGCGAUGAUGGUAGUGUUUGUGCCAGCCUAAUCAAUAAGACUGGGUACCGAAAGGUAACGGCGGAGUGAGAACCUAAAACAAAUUGUUAUGUCAUGGUUUAAGCCCUUAAGGUGUCACAGUGACGUAGUCGCUAAGGAAACUUAGCGAGUGGAACGAGAUAAACCCCACAAGCGAGAAACUCAAAUUUGGUAGAGGAACUGCAGAAGGCGAACUGAAGCGUAAUGCAGGUGCUAUAUGCACAGAUAAAUGGCUGCCCCUGGUAACAGGACAGAACAUGGCUUACAA